This 69-nucleotide transfer RNA is filed under the name Orthetrum melania. RNAcentral describes it as "tRNA-Gln". Lineage: Eukaryota; Metazoa; Arthropoda; Insecta; Odonata; Libellulidae. The record is from RNAcentral.
UAUACUUUGGUGUAAGAGGCACAGGAAUUUUUGAUAUUCUCGGAGUAGUUUAAUUCUACAAUGUAUAAU